CUUAUGAAGUUAGCGGCGGACGUGGAGAGAUAACACGUGGGUAACCUGCCCAUAAGACUGGGAUAACUCCGGGAAACCGGGGCUAAUACCGGAUAACAUUUUGAACCGCAUGGUUCGAAAUUGAAAGGCGGCUUCGGCUGUCACUUAUGGAUGGACCCGCGUCGCAUUAGCUAGUUGGUGAGGUAACGGCUCACCAAGGCAACGAUGCGUAGCCGACCUGAGAGGGUGAUCGGCCACACUGGGACUGAGACACGGCCCAGACUCCUACGGGAGGCAGCAGUAGGGAAUCUUCCGCAAUGGACGAAAGUCUGACGGAGCAACGCCGCGUGAGUGAUGAAGGCUUUCGGGUCGUAAAACUCUGUUGUUAGGGAAGAACAAGUGCUAGUUGAAUAAGCUGGCACCUUGACGGUACCUAACCAGAAAGCCACGGCUAACUACGUGCCAGCAGCCGCGGUAAUACGUAGGUGGCAAGCGUUAUCCGGAAUUAUUGGGCGUAAAGCCGCGCGCAGGUGGUUUCUUAAGUCUGAUGUGAAAGCCCACGGCUCAACCCGUGGAGGGUCAUUGGAAACUGGGAGACUUUGAGUGCAGAAGAGGAAAGUGGAAUUCCAUGUGUAGCGGUGAAAUGCGUAGAGAUAUGGAGGAACACCAGUGGCGAAGGCGACUUUCCUGGUCUGUAACUUGACACUGAGGCGCGAAAGCGUGGGGAAGCAAA
This 712-nucleotide ribosomal RNA is filed under the name Bacillus cereus. RNAcentral describes it as "bacterial SSU rRNA". It matches the Rfam family "Bacterial small subunit ribosomal RNA", at positions 83 to 772 of the family's 1533-position model. Lineage: Bacteria; Bacillati; Bacillota; Bacilli; Caryophanales; Bacillaceae. The record is from RNAcentral.